Molecule: transfer RNA, 74 nt
Filed under: Alphaproteobacteria bacterium
Lineage: Bacteria; Pseudomonadati; Pseudomonadota; Alphaproteobacteria
Also listed under: 2 other names
Description: tRNA-Gln
Rfam family: tRNA
About the family: Transfer RNA (tRNA) molecules are approximately 80 nucleotides in length. Their secondary structure includes four short double-helical elements and three loops (D, anti-codon, and T loops). Further hydrogen bonds mediate the characteristic L-shaped molecular structure. tRNAs have two regions of fundamental functional importance: the anti-codon, which is responsible for specific mRNA codon recognition, and the 3' end, to which the tRNAs corresponding amino acid is attached (by aminoacyl-tRNA synthetases). tRNAs cope with the degeneracy of the genetic code in two manners: having more than one tRNA (with a specific anti-codon) for a particular amino acid; and 'wobble' base-pairing, i.e. permitting non-standard base-pairing at the 3rd anti-codon position.
Source: RNAcentral
UGGGGGAUAGUUUAACGGUAGAACACUCGGCUCUGGACCGAGCAGUCCUGGUUCGAAUCCAGGUCCCCCAGCCA